AAUUUGUGUGCUUAAACGUUUAAGAAAGAUGCGUCUUUAUUUGAGAUAAAUCAUCAAGUGUUUCAUGUUUAUUUGGUGAUUUAUCAAACAGUUUAUCAUUCAUAUUGCAUUAAUUUGCAUAGUUCGGUGACUCAUAUAGUUGAGAGCACCAAGACCGUGAUGAUGGUUUUUCCAAUGAGCUUGAAGCAAUCGUGACCAAUAAUGCAUUUGACAUUAGGAGUGUUGAAAGAUCAUCCUGUGGCAGAAGUUGAGUUACGAAGAAGUCGGUAAACAUUUUCUAAAAUGUGUUUAGGAUAAAUAUUUAUGGUUUCAAUUGCUUUGGUGGUGAUCGUGCUUUGGAGGUACCGGUGCGGUAAACUAGACAAUGGGUCUGGAUUGGGGGAGAUGGGUUUCCACAGUGGUGCUCCUCGGUUGAUUUUUUUUUUUUGGUCUAGUGCUUGAUAAGUAAAUCAAGAUCUCAGUGAUUUUAGAAGAAGAAGAAUAGCUAUGGAGAAUUUCAAAGACAAGAAUUGAUGUUGAUUGGAGAAAGAGAGAUGGAAAAAAUGAAUUAUUGUAUGGACUGAAAACGAAAACAACAUAGUAUCGUUUUCAACUUUUGUUCAUGAAUUGGAUUUGUUUUUGGAAAAUAUUUUUAGGGAAAACAAAAACGUUCCACCGAACAGGUAUUUUCCGAAAAACAGGAAAUGAAUUACGGAAAACAGGUAGUGAAAAUGAUACCGAACGCAGCCUUUACUACUUGAA
Prunus mume (Japanese apricot) is the source of this 741-nucleotide non-coding RNA. The record is from RefSeq and is a predicted model, not a curated record. Lineage: Eukaryota; Viridiplantae; Streptophyta; Magnoliopsida; Rosales; Rosaceae.